CCUACGGGAGGCAGCAGUGGGGAAUAUUGGGCAAUGGGCGCAAGCCUGACCCAGCAACGCCGCGUGAAGGAAGAAGGCUUUCUGGUUGUAAACUUCUUUUAAGAGGGAAGAGCAGUAGACGGUACCUCUGGCAUAACCCACGGCUAACUACGUGCCAUCAGCCGCGGUAAUACGUAGGUGGCAAGCGUUGUCCGGAUUUACUGGGUGUAACGGGCGUGUAGCCGGGCUGACAAGUCAGUUGUGAGUUUUCGGGGCUCAACCCCGGACCUGCAUUUGAAACUGUUGGUCUUGAGUAUAGGAGAGGCAGGCGGAAUUCCUAGUGUAGCGGUGAAAUGCGUAGAUAUUAGGAGGAACACCAGUGGCGAAGGCGGCCUGCUGGACGACAACUGACGGUGAGGCGCGAAAGCGUGGGGAGCAAACAGGAUUAGAUACCCCAGUAGUC
RNAcentral lists this ribosomal RNA (442 nucleotides) under uncultured bacterium. RNAcentral's name for it is "partial 16S ribosomal RNA". It matches the Rfam family "Bacterial small subunit ribosomal RNA", at positions 338 to 795 of the family's 1533-position model. The record is from RNAcentral.